RNAcentral lists this long non-coding RNA (565 nucleotides) under Manihot esculenta (cassava). RNAcentral's name for it is "long non-coding RNA (MESC_LNC004536)". Lineage: Eukaryota; Viridiplantae; Streptophyta; Magnoliopsida; Malpighiales; Euphorbiaceae. The record is from RNAcentral.
CUAAACCAAAGGACCAUGCGGAUCAAUGCCUUCCCAAACCUCCGGAUAAGGUAGAGUUUGUUUUGCCUGAACUUAAUGCUAAAUUGCAGCUAGCCAUAGAGAAACAUGAAUUGGAGUUCAAAGUGCUUCCCAAUCAUCUCAAAAAUGCAAACAUAAGGGCUAGAGGCACACCUCAUCUGAAAGAAGAGAAGCUAAUCAUGUUGCUUCAUGAGUACAUGGAAAAAAUAGGAUGGGUUUUGACUAAAUCAAAAGGAGUGCUACACUUUUUGCUCAAUGCAGUUGGGACUCUUUUCCCCUCUCCAAUUACUUGAGCCUUGAUCAAGUGGAUCGCACCAUGCACACCACACCCAGGGGAGUACUCAGUUUCCUUUGUUCUUUUAUGUUUCUUAUACAUUGAGGACAAUGCAUGAUUUAGGUGUGGGGGUGCACAUUUCUGAAUUUUUACUUUUUAAGUUUAUUUUUGCUUUGAUUUUUAGUUUGCUUGCAUUAGUUGAACUUUUUCAUUUUUGCUUUCAAUAACACACACAGAUAGCCACAUUUUUUUCAUUUUUGCUUUCAAUAACAC